UAUAUAUAUAUAAAGAUCCACAAUAAUAAUAAGCUGCUGUGGUUUGUAUUUGAACUACCUGAAAAAAAACAACACAUGGCAUUUUCUGUCGUCACGAGCUUAGUUGAUAUUUGAUAAUGGAAGUUGUUAUACAGUUAGUGUGUCAAAACCGUGUCACGUGCCGGUCCACAAAACGUCAUGUUCGGGAACCGGUCCGCAAUGAAACAUUUAUUGACCGGUCAAUAAUAAAAUGGAUGCAAUACGCAUGCGUGUCAACCAUGAAGUUCCAAAGUUCCUUUUUUAAACUUUUUACUAAACAUUUACGGCGUUCCAUUUAUCCAGUUUUGGUUUCAAAUUAAGUUCACUCCAAUAACCGGUGAAUUAUUCAUACUUUGGCAUAUAUAACAAAACACUUAUUUACUGAGACCUCGGGAAAGCAUUGUGUUUUGUGGCCCCUCGACCGCCGUUGUUGCGGCGGCGGUCUCGAGUCCACAAAACACACUGUUUCCCUCGGUCUCAGUAAAUAAGUGAUAAUUAAUUACUGUAUAUAAUGGAAGCUAAUUACAGCCUUGCCUUGCAACGUUGAAGUUUUUCAGGUAGUUCAUGGCAGUUUAUUAUAGAUUCUCCCUACACCGGACCUCUUUAGGUAUCAAUUUGAUAUCCAACGGUCUCUUUAAAUAGAUCCAACAUUUUUGAACCAAUAAGUCCCAGCAUAGUUUGACGUUAUUGUGAGAUGAAAAGUUAAACACAACAAAUACUGAUUGGGCAAAAAUAUAGGAUACAAUUAAACAGUGUCUUGAGUGUGGGGUUCCAACGAUGAACAAUAAUUUUGAGGGAUUUGUACGGUCAAACUACGUUGUUAUAUUUUUUAGGUAGUUUAAUCCUGUAAUCCCUCUAAUUAAACAGUUUUUUCAAAUACAUGGUAAGAGCAUGUCCUGUUCAAUUUUGUGGUCGUUGCCAUAAACAUUGCAUUUGCUCAAUUUUCUCCUUUCAUGAGGAUUUUUAAAAACUAAUAGAGAGGUUCAGAUUUGACUUCCACUACUGCUACCUCUCACUGGCUUAGUAAACAUCUGAUUGGUUGAUCGGAUAUAUAAAACGCAUCUGAUUGGCUAAUGGUCCCUUAAUGGUAGUGGUCGUCAAAUCUGAACCUCACUAAUGUUAUCUUGUUUUAAAGACCAAAAAUCUUCAUGAAACUAUAGAAGGUGUGGGAAAGCAAUGCAUUAUAUCAAAAUGAUCGCUAGUUCCCAGACCUUCUAUUGUUUUAUAAUAUGUAAAUAUAUAUAAAGUAAAACUAACAUUAGACGUAGAGAUAUUUAUCAGACGAGUUUGAAAGAGAAGGCAUAUAAGUACAGACCUACACAUUUGACUGGAUUGACUAUCAAUUAUGUUAAAAACUAAGGGAUGUAGCUUUCUAAAGCACUGUGUAGCUUAUAGAUAGCCUAGUCCAGGCCUUCUCGCGUGACUGGAUCGAUUUUGAAACCCUUGUAUAGUAAGGUACCACCCUAAAAUAGUAGGCGGAAGCGAAAAGGCGAGGAUCUAGGCUGGGUUCAUGUUUGGGCUAGCAUUUGGUAAGAAUGACAUCACAUGGGAAAUGAAGGGAGAUGAGCGCAUGUGACGUCAUACUGACCAAAUGCUAGCACAAAAUUGCCAAAACCAGCCGAGUAACGGUCUAGGCCGGACCAAUUGGCUGGACCUGGCCCUAAUAUAUGAAUGAUGAAUCUUAUACAUAUAAAUGAAUUUGAUGUUUUGUCCCUUUUUAACAAGUAUUAAUUGUGACUGACUGUCGUGACGAAAGCGUAUUCGCCGGUGUACAAUAGUCUGGAACUAUCUUGGAUAUCGUGCUGGAUACAAAACAGUCUUAAUUAAUUGAUUGCAAAGAUAUAUUGUAGGCUCUGGAAUCUCAACUUGUCUUAAGACCGAUUUACCAACCCAACCUCCACAGGAGGGAAGUGCCUGGGAACGAGGUUGUUACCAUCCCAGUAGAAUGACAGUAAGGCCUACUGUACGUCGAUCAUCUUGACAUGUUGCGACAAUUAAAUUUAUGAUAGUGUAGAAAAGUCCCUCGUUACACCGCCUCCGUUUCAAUCCGUGAUAAGGGGUACUCGGCAAAUUGGCUUAGUAGCCUUCUCAACUCUAAACCUCUGUCUUAACCCCGAAACCUGCAUUAAAUUUAUAUAAGAUUUGUUUAAAGUUAUUUAAAGGUAAAUGUCCCUAUUGACAUCUUCACGACAGUUACGACCAAAUGGGCUUAAUCCUCCUGUGUGUUUUCUCUUAUCACAACUCGUCUUUAAUACAUCUCAACAUAUUAGAGUAUAAUAAAGUAUAACUUCAUAUUUUAAUAGUUACUACUGUACGACUAAAAGUUAAUCCGUUGGGUUUUUGUAUGUAACAAUAGUUCUAGUUUUGUUUGAAUAUUGACUAUAUAUUACCUUAUUGUGAUUCAUCUGUUAAUUAUAAU
RNAcentral lists this long non-coding RNA (2437 nucleotides) under Paramuricea clavata. Lineage: Eukaryota; Metazoa; Cnidaria; Anthozoa; Malacalcyonacea; Plexauridae. The record is from RNAcentral.